GCGGAAAUGGCGGAAUUGGUAGACGCGCCAGGUUGAGGGCCUGGUGAAAGCUAAUUUCAUGCAGGUUCAAGUCCUGUUUUCCGCA
RNAcentral lists this transfer RNA (85 nucleotides) under Planctomycetaceae bacterium. RNAcentral describes it as "tRNA-Leu". It matches the Rfam family "tRNA". Rfam says of the family: Transfer RNA (tRNA) molecules are approximately 80 nucleotides in length. Their secondary structure includes four short double-helical elements and three loops (D, anti-codon, and T loops). Further hydrogen bonds mediate the characteristic L-shaped molecular structure. tRNAs have two regions of fundamental functional importance: the anti-codon, which is responsible for specific mRNA codon recognition, and the 3' end, to which the tRNAs corresponding amino acid is attached (by aminoacyl-tRNA synthetases). tRNAs cope with the degeneracy of the genetic code in two manners: having more than one tRNA (with a specific anti-codon) for a particular amino acid; and 'wobble' base-pairing, i.e. permitting non-standard base-pairing at the 3rd anti-codon position. The record is from RNAcentral. RNAcentral also lists the same sequence under 2 other names. Lineage: Bacteria; Pseudomonadati; Planctomycetota; Planctomycetia; Planctomycetales; Planctomycetaceae.